Molecule: transfer RNA, 72 nt
Filed under: Bos taurus (domestic cattle)
Lineage: Eukaryota; Metazoa; Chordata; Mammalia; Artiodactyla; Bovidae
Also listed under: 5 other names
Rfam family: tRNA
About the family: Transfer RNA (tRNA) molecules are approximately 80 nucleotides in length. Their secondary structure includes four short double-helical elements and three loops (D, anti-codon, and T loops).
Source: Rfam by way of RNAcentral
UCCCUGGCAGUCCAGUGGUUAGGACAUAGUGCUUGCACUGCUGGGGCCCAAGUUCCAUCCCUGGUUAGGGAA